RNAcentral lists this ribosomal RNA (253 nucleotides) under uncultured bacterium. RNAcentral describes it as "partial 16S ribosomal RNA". It matches the Rfam family "Bacterial small subunit ribosomal RNA", at positions 524 to 776 of the family's 1533-position model. The record is from RNAcentral.
UACGAAGGGGGCUAGCGUUGUUCGGAGUUACUGGGCGUAAAGCGUGCGCAGGCGGCUUCUCAAGUCAGGGGUGAAAGCCCAGAGCUCAACUCUGGAAUUGCCUUUGAGACUGAGUGGCUUGAGUACGAGAGAGGUGAGUGGAAUUCCCAGUGUAGAGGUGAAAUUCGUAGAUAUUGGGAAGAACACCGGUGGCGAAGGCGGCUCACUGGCUCGUAACUGACGCUCAUGCACGACAGCGUGGGGAUCAAACAGG